CGAAAGCCUGACGGAGCAACGCCGCGUGAGGGAUGAAGGCCUCUGGGCUGUAAACCUCUUUUCUCAAGGAAGAAGAUCUGACGGUACUUGAGGAAUAAGCCACGGCUAAUUCCGUGCCAGCAGCCGCGGUAAUACGGGAGUGGCAAGCGUUAUCCGGAAUUAUUGGGCGUAAAGCGUCCGCAGGCGGUUCUGUAAGUCUGCCGUUAAAGCGUGGAGCUUAACUCCAUUUCGGCGGUGGAAACUGCAGGACUUGAGUGUGGUAGGGGCAGAGGGAAUUCCCGGUGUAGCGGUGAAAUGCGUAGAUAUCGGGAAGAACACCAGUGGCGAAAGCGCUCUGCCGGGCCAUAACUGACGCUCAUGGACGAAAGCCAGGGGAGCG
This 379-nucleotide ribosomal RNA is filed under the name uncultured cyanobacterium. RNAcentral's name for it is "bacterial SSU rRNA". It matches the Rfam family "Bacterial small subunit ribosomal RNA", at positions 376 to 770 of the family's 1533-position model. Lineage: Bacteria; Bacillati; Cyanobacteriota. The record is from RNAcentral.